GAAGGUUUAGCUCAGUGGUAGAGUGCCUGCUUAGCAUGCAUGAGGUCCUGGGUUCUAAUCCCCAGAACCUCCA
Molecule: transfer RNA, 73 nt
Filed under: Camelus ferus (Wild Bactrian camel)
Lineage: Eukaryota; Metazoa; Chordata; Mammalia; Artiodactyla; Camelidae
Rfam family: tRNA
About the family: Transfer RNA (tRNA) molecules are approximately 80 nucleotides in length.
Source: Rfam by way of RNAcentral